GGGAGGAGGGGGAAGACUUAAAAUGAUGACUUGGUUGUUUUGUCUUUUUUUCUGUGUGUGUGUGUGUGUGUGUGUGUGUGUGUUUCAUGAUGGCGAGUGAGUGAAGCGACGCGCCCCCGGACGUAUGCUCCCCAUUAGUUAGUUAGUGUCAUGACGGAAGGAAAGACAGUAAAGGUGACGGUUUGGUAGCUUCGCCGCUGUUUCGUGUUUUGUGUGUCUAGGCGGAAGGCAGAAAAGACAGUAAAAGUGACGGUUUUGUUGUUUCGUCGCUGUUUUUAGUGUUGUGUGUUUGGACGGAAGGCAGAAAAGACAGUAAAAGUGACGGUUUUGUUGUUUCGUCGCUGUUUUUAGUGUUGUGUGUUUGGACGGAAGGCAGAAAAGACAGUAAAAGUGACGGUUUGGUUGUUUCGUCGCUGUUUUUAGUGUUGUGUGUUUGGACGGAAGGCAGAAAAGACAGGAAAGGUGACGGUUUGGUUGUUUCGUCGCUGUUUUUAGUGUUGUGUGUUUAGACGGAAGGCAGAAAAGACAGUAAAGGUGACGGUUUUGUUGUUUCGUCGCUGUUUUUAGUGUUGUGUGUUUGGACGGAAGGCAGAAAAGACAGUAAAGGUGACGGUUUGGUGGUUUCGUCGCUGUUUUUAGUGUUGUGUGUUUAGACGGAAGGCAGAAAAGACGAAAAAUGACGGUUUUAUAGUUAUGUCGCUGAUUUUAGUGUUUUGUGUUUAGACGGAAGGAAGAAAAGACAGUAUAGGAGACGGCUUGAAUGUAUCGUCGCUGUUUUUAGUUUUGUGUGUUUGGACGGAAGGCAGAAAAGUAAAGAUUUUUUUUUUCUUUUUUUCUAGAGGGAAGGAAAGAAAACUAAAGAUGACAGUUUGAUUCUUUUCUUGCUGUUGAGUAUUUGUGUGUGCAGAUGGAAAGAAAAAGAAGAAGGGAAGAUACUAAUUAUUAUAUUUAUUCAAGGCCAGCAAUCUUUGUAUUCCCUUUUAUAAGAAGUUGAUUUUUCACUCGUGUUACAUGCCUGUGAGAGAGAGAGAGAGAGAGAGAGAGAGAGAGAGAGAGAGAGAGAGUAGCGGCAUAAAGAAUAAUAUUGGACGUUAAAAAAAACAAAUUAAUGUAAUGCAAAAGGUGUAUAAACGAAAGAGAAGUAGUGAAAGAAAAAAAAAGGAAAACUGUGAAAUGCAUGAUGAAGAGAGAGAGAGAGAGAGAGAGAGAGAGAGAGAGAGAGAGAGAGAGAGAGAGAGAGAGAGAG
This is a long non-coding RNA of Eriocheir sinensis (Chinese mitten crab), 1246 nucleotides long. RefSeq lists it as uncharacterized. The transcript is spliced from 3 exons. NCBI's taxonomy places the organism in Eukaryota, Metazoa, Arthropoda, Malacostraca, Decapoda, Varunidae. The record is from RefSeq and is a predicted model, not a curated record.